Molecule: ribosomal RNA, 233 nt
Filed under: uncultured bacterium
Lineage: Bacteria
Description: partial 16S ribosomal RNA
Rfam family: Bacterial small subunit ribosomal RNA
Source: RNAcentral
CGGGACGGGUGAGUAAUGUCUGGGAAACUGCCUGAUGGAGGGGGAUAACUACUGGAAACGGUAGCUAAUACCGCAUAACGUCGCAAGACCAAAGAGGGGGACCUUCGGGCCUCUUGCCAUCGGAUGUGCCCAGAUGGGAUUAGCUAGUAGGUGGGGUAAAGGCUCACCUAGGCGACGAUCCCUAGCUGGUCUGAGAGGAUGACCAGCCACACUGGAACUGAGACACGGUCCAG